GAUGAAGAACGCAGCGAAAUGCGAUAAGUAAUGUGAAUUGCAGAAUUCAGUGAAUCAUCGAAUCUUUGAACGCACCUUGCGCUCUUUGGUAUUCCGAAGAGCAUGCCUGUUUGAGUGUCAUGAAAAUAUCAACCUUGACUUGGGUUUUGUGCUCUAGUCUCGGCUUGGAAUUGGGUGCUUGCCGCUUUUACGAGCGGCUCACCUUAAAUGUAUUAGCUGGAUCUGUCUUUGAGACUUGGUUUGACUUGGCGUAAUAAGUAUUUCGCUAAGGACAUUCUUCGGAGUGGCCUCGUUUCUAGGACGCUUGUCCGCUUUCCAAUACAAGUUCCACCUCGUGGACAUGACUUUUUAUUAUCUGGCCUCAAAUCAGGUAGGACUACCCGCUGAACUUAAGCAUAUCAAUACGCGGAGGA
RNAcentral lists this unclassified non-coding RNA (413 nucleotides) under soil metagenome. RNAcentral describes it as "partial contains 5.8S ribosomal RNA, internal transcribed spacer 2, and large subunit ribosomal RNA". The stretch from base 1 to 120 matches the Rfam family "5.8S ribosomal RNA", at positions 35 to 154 of the family's 154-position model. The record is from RNAcentral.